UGGCUCAUUAAAACAGUUAUAGUUUACUUGAUAAUAAAAUUUUACAUGGAUAACCGUGGUAAUUCUAGAGCUAAUACAUGAGCAAAAUCUUGACUUUUUUAGAAAAGAUGCAUUUAUUAGAUAAAAAACCAAUACAUACUUUUUAAGUAUGAAAGUUGGUGAUUUACAAUAACUUAGCAAAUCGCAUAGUGAAAACUGGCGAUAAAUCAUUCAAGUUUCUGACCUAUCAGCUUUCGACGGUAUGGUAUUGGCUUACCGUGGCAGUGACGGUUAACGGGGGAUUAGGGUUCGAUUCCGGAGAGGGAGCCUGAGAAACGGCUACCACAUCUAAGGAAGGCAGCAGGCGCGCAAAUUACCCAAUUCUAACAGCAUAAGAGAGGUAGUGACAAGAAAUAACAAUACAAGGCAGUUAAAAUGCUUUGUAAUUGGAAUGAUAGAAAUUUAAACACUUUUUAAAGUAUCAAUUGGAGGGCAAGUCUGGUGCCAGCAGCCGCGGUAAUUCCAGCUCCAAUAGCGUAUAUUAAAAUUGUUGCAGUUAAAAAGCUCGUAGUUGAAUUUCUGCUUAAAAUAACCAGUCUGCUUUUAACAAAAGUGGUAUCUUGGUGUGUUUUUAGCAAUAAUGUCCUUUGAAAUGUGUUUUACUUUGUUGUAAAAGACAAUAUUCAGGAUUUUUACUUUGAGAAAAUUAGAGUGUUUCUAGCAGGCUAAUGCUUUGAAUACUGCAGCAUGGAAUAAUAAAAUAGGAAUUUGGUUCUACAUUAUUGGUUU
RNAcentral lists this ribosomal RNA (768 nucleotides) under Karyolysus sp. Its description in RNAcentral is "SSU rRNA". It matches the Rfam family "Eukaryotic small subunit ribosomal RNA", at positions 94 to 850 of the family's 1831-position model. The record is from RNAcentral. Lineage: Eukaryota; Apicomplexa; Karyolysidae.